CCUACGGGGGGCAGCAGUGGGGAAUAUUGCACAAUGGGCGCAAGCCUGAUGCAGCAACGCCGCGUGAAGGAAGACGGUUCUCGGAUUGUAAACUUCUGUUCUUAGUGAAGAAUAAUGACGGUAACUAAGGAGCAAGCCACGGCUAACUACGUGCCAGCAGCCGCGGUCAUACGCAGGUGGCAAGCGUUGUCCGGAAUUACUGGGUGUAAAGGGAGCGUAGGCGGGAAGCCAAGUCAGCUGUGAAAACUUAGGGCUUAACCUGUAGACUGCAGUUGAAACUGGCUUUCUUGAGUGAAGUAGAGGUUGGCGGAAUUCGGGGUGUAGCGGUGAAAUGCUUAGAUAUUCGGAAGAACACCGAUGGCGAAGGCGGCCAACUGGGCUUUAACUGACGCUGAGGCUCGAAAGUGUGGGGAGCAAACAGGAUUAGAUACCCGUGUAGUC
RNAcentral lists this ribosomal RNA (441 nucleotides) under uncultured bacterium. Its description in RNAcentral is "partial 16S ribosomal RNA". It matches the Rfam family "Bacterial small subunit ribosomal RNA", at positions 338 to 795 of the family's 1533-position model. The record is from RNAcentral.